UCACUUGCUCCAUCUUUAUAAGGAAAGAGUCGAUAAAGUCUCUGGAAGACGUUGGAUCCAGGGUCUCUUCAUGCAUUUUGAUUCUUUCAGCAAUAAAUUCCUGAAUCUCAUCAACUGCUUUGAAGAACUUGUUGUGGGGCCCCGGUAACUUCUCCAUUAAUUUUGGAUACACAUUGUACAUCUGUAAUGAAUAACAUCUUAAAAAAUGCGUGGUAUAUUCUGGAGUAACAGAGUUAGACAAAAUAUGAAGGCCAUUUGACUUAGCUAACAUAUUCUGCAGAGCUUAAUAAAAUGGGGAUAAUUGUAGGUUCUCAAAUGAGCUUACAAUCUACUCUGUGCCACAAUAUUAAAACCACUGACAUUGUUAAAAUGGCACAUGUCAAGAGGUGUGAUAUAUUAGGCAUCAAGUGAAAAGUCAGGUCUUGAAUUUCAUUUGUUGGAAGCAGGACAAAUGGGCAAAUGAAAAGAUCUGAGAGACUUUGACAAGGGCGAAAUAGUGAUGGCUAGAGACUGGGUCAGAGAAUCUCCAAAUCAGCAAGUCUUGUGGGAUUUUCCAGGUAUGCAGGGGUUAGUACCUACCAAAUACUGUGCAACUGGUGUAUCUUCAUUAGUGUCAUAUAUGCCCAAAGCUCAUUGAUGCACAUAGGGAGCAAAGACCAGCCCAACUGGUCCGAUCACACAGAAAGGUUACUGUAGCUCUAAUUGCUGAAAAAAGAAAUGCUGGCCAUGAUCGAAAGGUGUCAGAACACACAGUGCAUCACAGUUUGCUGCGUAUGGUGCUGUGUAGCUGCAGAAUUCCCAUGGUGACCCAUGUCCACCACUGUAAGCACCUUAAAUGGGGACAUGAGUGUCAGAACUGGACUAUGGAGCAAUGGAAGAAGGUUGCCUGUUCUGAUGAGCCACAUUUUCAUUUAGAUCAGUUGGAUGGCGUGUGCGUUGCUUACUUGGGUAAAAGAAGCAGGAUGCAAUAUAGGAAGAAGACAGGCGGAGGUAGCAUUAUGCUUUGUGUAAUGUAGUGCUGGUAAAGCAUAUGUCCUGUCAUUACUUUGACACAUACCACCAACCUAGAGAUGUUGUUGCAGCCACGUAUACCCAUUUAUGGCAAUACUACUCCCUGAUGGCAGGGACCUCUUUCAGCAGGCUAAUGCAAUCUCCAACACUGCAAAAUUGUUCAGGAAUGGUUUGAGGAACAUGACAAAGUGUUCAAGGUGUUGCCUUGGCCUCCAAAUUCAGCAUCUGUGGGAUGUGCUGGAACAACUAAUGCGAUCCAUGGAGGCCCCAUCUCGCAACUUGCAGGACUUAAAUGAUCUGCUGCUAAUGUCUUAAAGGACCACUAUAGUGCCAGGAAAACAUACUCGUUUUCCUGGCACUAUAGUGCCCUGAGGGUGCCCCCACCCUCAGGGACCCCC
Molecule: non-coding RNA, 1409 nt
Organism: Pelobates cultripes (western spadefoot toad)
Lineage: Eukaryota; Metazoa; Chordata; Amphibia; Anura; Pelobatidae
Source: the annotation of a GenBank genome assembly